UACGGAGGGGGCUAGCGUUGUUCGGAAUUACUGGGCGUAAAGCGCACGUAGGCGGCCGAUCAAGUCAGAGGUGAAAGCCCGGGGCUCAACCCCGGAAUUGCCUUUGAGACUGAACGGCUAGUAGGUGAGAGAGGUAAGUGGAAUUCCGAGUGUAGAGGUGAAAUUCGUAGAUAUUCGGAAGAACACCAGUGGCGAAGGCGGCUUACUGGCUCAUUCUAGACGCUGAGGUGCGAAAGCGUGGGGAGCAAACAGG
RNAcentral lists this ribosomal RNA (253 nucleotides) under uncultured bacterium. Its description in RNAcentral is "partial 16S ribosomal RNA". It matches the Rfam family "Bacterial small subunit ribosomal RNA", at positions 524 to 776 of the family's 1533-position model. The record is from RNAcentral.